This is a non-coding RNA of Mycena rebaudengoi, 93 nucleotides long. Lineage: Eukaryota; Fungi; Basidiomycota; Agaricomycetes; Agaricales; Mycenaceae. The record is from the annotation of a GenBank genome assembly.
AACCUAAUAGCGAAAUUGGCAUCGCGUCCACUGCACUUAACCUGGCACCAGGAGUCAAAGUGGAAGUCCCUCGGUCGAACCGAGGUUAGGUUG